This 2994-nucleotide long non-coding RNA is filed under the name Panax ginseng (ginseng). Lineage: Eukaryota; Viridiplantae; Streptophyta; Magnoliopsida; Apiales; Araliaceae. The record is from RNAcentral.
UUCUCGUUUGGGUGAAGGAAGUAUGACUGCUUUGCCAAUAGUUGAAACUCAGUCGGGAGAUGUUUCGGCUUAUAUUCCUACUAAUGUAAUUUCGAUUACUGAUGGACAAAUAUUCUUAUCUGCCGAUCUAUUCAAUGCUGGAAUCAGACCUGCUAUUAAUGUGGGUAUCUCCGUUUCCAGAGUGGGAUCUGCAGCUCAAAUUAAAGCUAUGAAACAAGUCGCUGGCAAAUUAAAAUUGGAACUGGCGCAAUUCGCAGAAUUAGAAGCCUUUGCACAAUUUGCUUCUGAUCUCGAUAAAGCUACUCAGAAUCAAUUGGCAAGAGGUCAACGAUUACGUGAAUUGCUCAAACAAUCCCAAUCAGCCCCUCUCACGGUGGAAGAACAGAUAAUGACUAUUUAUACCGGAACAAAUGGUUAUCUUGAUUUAUUAGAAAUUGGACAGGUAAGGAAAUUUCUUGUUGAGUUACGUACUUACCUAAAAACUAAUAAACCGAAGUUUCAAGAAAUCAUAUCUUCUACUAAGACAUUCACCGAGGAAGCAGAAGCCCUUUUGAAAAAAGCUAUUCAGGAACAGACGGAAUGUUUUAUACUUCAGGAACAAGCAUAAAGAAAUUGAUAAAAGUUCUCAACAAAAGGAUAAUCAAGCGUCUCGCAUUCAAAUCUUUCAAAAGGGCUUCCAAAAUCUAAAAAAAAUAAAUGGAAAUAAAUUGCGUCCAAUAGCAUUUCGUGAUUCAUUGGUAAAUCUACUUUGAUUCUCUAUCAACCAAUAAUGUGGGACCGUUAAACAUGGUUAAAGCUAAAUUGCUUGAAGUCCAGACCCAGCAUUGUACUCUUUCUACCACUAUAUUAAUACUAAUAUAAAGAUGCUUUCAAAAAUGAAUAGUUUAUCGAUAUAGAACACUCAUAUGGAUAAAACCUUUUGAACCACCUAUUAUAAAAUUAGAAAAUAAGGGGGAUGAAAUCCCCAUUUUUAUCCAAUGCUGAAUCGACGACCUAUGUAUUGUGUAUAAAGAAAGAAAAACUUUUUGGAUUUGAAAAAAAAAGAAACAACUUUGCUGACAAUUACAUAUUUUUGUUUGGUCAGAAGAGUCCUUCGACUAUUUUGGUUUUGGAUGAGUGAUUAGUUUCGACGAUAUUUUUAUUUUAUUUUUGAAUAUGAAGAGAGAAUAGAGGAUAGGCUCAUUACAUUCAAAAAAAGAUAUGGGAAUUUACCAUAAGUAAUUGAGUGUGAGAGCCAAAUGAAUCGAAAGAUUCAUGUUUGGUUCGGGAAGGGAUCAUGGAAGUUUUAAAUGAAUGGAAAGAGAAUCUACUUUGAUUAAGUGAUUUAUUAGAUAAUCAAAAACAUAGGAUUUUGAAUACUAUUCGAAAUUCUGAAGAACUUCGUGAAGGGGCCAUUGAACAGCUGGAAAAAGCCCGGGCGCGCUUACGAAAAGUGGAAAUGGAAGCAGAUCAGUUUCGGGUGAGUGGAUAUUCUGAGAUAGAGCGAGAAAAGUGGAAUUUUAUUAAUUCAACUUCUAAGACUUUGGAACAACUAGAAAAUUACAAAAACGAAACUAUUCAUUUUGAACAACAAAGGGCGAUUCAUCAAGUCCGACAACUGAUUUUCUAACAAGCCUUACAAUGGGCUCUAGGAACUCUGAUUAGUUGUUUGAACAACGAGUUACAUUUACGUACCAUCAGUGCCAAUAUUGGCAUCUUGGGGGUGAUGAAAGAAAUAACUGAUUAGUCCUUCUACUCUAGGUAUCAUUUUUUUUUCAAAAAUGAAUUAAGAAAUACUCAUGGUAACCAUUCGAGCCGACGAAAUUAGUAAUAUUAUCCGUGAACGUAUUGAGCAAUAUAAUAGAGAAGUAAAGAUUGUAAAUACCGGUACCGUACUGCAAGUAGGCGACGGCAUUGCUCGUAUUCAUGGUCUUGAUGAAGUAAUGGCGGGUGAAUUAGUAGAAUUUGAAGAGGGUACGGUAGGGAUUGCUCUGAAUUUGGAAUCAAAUAAUGUCGGUGUUGUAUUAAUGGGCGAUGGUUUGCUGAUACAAGAAGGAAGUUCUGUAAAAGCAACAGGAAGAAUUGCUCAGAUACCCGUGAGUGAGGCCUAUUUGGGUCGUGUUGUAAAUGCCCUGGCUAAACCUAUUGAUGGUAGAGGUGAAAUUUCAGCUUCUGAAUAUCGGUUAAUUGAAUCUCCCGCUCCAGGUAUUAUUUCACGACGUUCAGUAUACGAGCCUCUUCAAACGGGGCUUAUUGCUAUUGAUUCUAUGAUCCCUAUAGGACGUGGUCAGCGAGAAUUAAUUAUUGGGGACAGACAGACCGGUAAAACAGCAGUAGCAACAGAUACGAUUCUCAAUCAACAAGGCCAAAAUGUAAUAUGUGUUUAUGUAGCUAUUGGUCAAAAAGCAUCUUCUGUGGCUCAGGUAGUGACUACUUUCCAGGAAAGGGGGGCGAUGGAAUACACUAUUGUGGUAGCUGAAAUGGCGGAUUCCCCUGCUACAUUACAAUACCUCGCUCCUUAUACAGGAGCCGCUCUGGCGGAAUAUUUUAUGUACCGUGAACGACACACUUCAAUCAUUUAUGAUGAUCCCUCCAAACAAGCACAAGCUUAUCGACAAAUGUCUCUUCUAUUACGAAGACCGCCCGGUCGCGAAGCUUAUCCAGGGGAUGUUUUUUAUUUGCAUUCACGCCUUUUGGAAAGAGCUGCUAAAUUAAGUUCUCGUUUGGGUGAAGGAAGUAUGACUGCUUUGCCAAUAGUUGAAACUCAGUCGGGAGAUGUUUCGGCUUAUAUUCCUACUAAUGUAAUUUCGAUUACUGAUGGACAAAUAUUCUUAUCUGCCGAUCUAUUCAAUGCUGGAAUCAGACCUGCUAUUAAUGUGGGUAUCUCCGUUUCCAGAGUGGGAUCUGCAGCUCAAAUUAAAGCUAUGAAACAAGUCGCUGGCAAAUUAAAAUUGGAACUGGCGCAAUUCGCAGAAUUAGAAGCCUUUGCACAAUUUGCUUCUGAUCUCGAUAAAG